RNAcentral lists this ribosomal RNA (811 nucleotides) under Phenylobacterium sp. RNAcentral's name for it is "bacterial SSU rRNA". It matches the Rfam family "Bacterial small subunit ribosomal RNA", at positions 1 to 860 of the family's 1533-position model. The record is from RNAcentral. Lineage: Bacteria; Pseudomonadati; Pseudomonadota; Alphaproteobacteria; Caulobacterales; Caulobacteraceae.
UCAACCUGAGAGUUUGAUCCUGGCUCAGAGCGAACGCUGGCGGCAGGCCUAAUACAUGCAAGUCGAGCGCACCUUCGGGUGAGCGGCGGACGGGUGAGUAACGCGUGGGAAUAUGCCCUUUGGUACGGAACAACUGAGGGAAACUUCAGCUAAUACCGUAUGUGCCCUUCGGGGGAAAGAUUUAUCGCCAUUGGAGUAGCCCGCGUUGGAUUAGCUAGUUGGUAGGGUAAAGGCCUACCAAGGCUACGAUCCAUAGCUGGUCUGAGAGGAUGAUCAGCCACAUUGGGACUGAGACACGGCCCAAACUCCUACGGGAGGCAGCAGUAGGGAAUCUUGCGCAAUGGGCGAAAGCCUGACGCAGCCAUGCCGCGUGAAUGAUGAAGGUCUUAGGAUUGUAAAAUUCUUUCACCGGGGAAGAUAAUGACGGUACCCGGAGAAGAAGCCCCGGCUAACUUCGUGCCAGCAGCCGCGGUAAUACGAAGGGGGCUAGCGUUGCUCGGAAUUACUGGGCGUAAAGGGCGCGUAGGCGGAUAUUUAAGUUAGAGGUGAAAGCCCAGGGCUCAACCCUGGAACAGCCUUUAAUACUGGAUAUCUUGAGUUCGGGAGAGGUGAGUGGAACUCCGAGUGUAGAGGUGAAAUUCGUAGAUAUUCGGAAGAACACCAGUGGCGAAGGCGACUCACUGGCCCGAUACUGACGCUGAGGCGCGAAAGCGUGGGGAGCAAACAGGAUUAGAUACCCUGGUAGUCCACGCUGUAAACGAUGAGUGCUAGUUGUCGGCAUGCAUGCAUGUCGGUGACGCAGCUAACGCAU